Entelurus aequoreus (snake pipefish) is the source of this 149-nucleotide long non-coding RNA. RefSeq lists it as uncharacterized. The transcript has 3 exons. Lineage: Eukaryota; Metazoa; Chordata; Actinopteri; Syngnathiformes; Syngnathidae. The record is from RefSeq and is a predicted model, not a curated record.
GUUGUGUUACCAAGGCCCAGCUCGACUCCCCACACAGCCUGGAAAUCACUCACGUCAUGGUGGUUGGAAAGCCUUUAUCGUUAUCGUCAAAACAGGAUAUCUCUUCACCACACGAAGCACCUUUUUGGCGCCACUGACUUUUAAAAUAG